RNAcentral lists this ribosomal RNA (468 nucleotides) under uncultured bacterium. Its description in RNAcentral is "partial 16S ribosomal RNA". It matches the Rfam family "Bacterial small subunit ribosomal RNA", at positions 28 to 507 of the family's 1533-position model. The record is from RNAcentral.
GACGAACGCUGGCGGCGUGCUUAACACUUGCAAGUCGAACGGAAAGGCCCUGCUUCUGUGGGUUGCUCGAGUGGCGAACGGGUGAGUAACACGUUAGUAACCUGUCCUUGACUUUGGGAUAACUUCAGGAAACUGGGGCAAAUACCUGAUAGGAGCUCCUGCUGCAUGGUGGGGGUUGGAAUUUUUCGGCGGCUGGGGAUGGGCUCGCGGCUUAUCAGCUUGUUGGUGGGGUAGUGGCUUACCAAGGCUUCGACGGAUAGCCGGCCUGAGAGGGUGACGGGGCACAAUGGGACUGAGAGACGGCCCAGACGCCAACAGUAGGCAACAGUGGGAAGUAUUGCACAAUGAGAGGGAGCCUGAGACAACGACGCCGGGUUCGUAAUGAAGGCCUUUGGGUUAAAAACCGCAUUCGCCUGAGACGAAGCGUGUCUGACGGUAAUGAAUGAAGAAGCACCGGCUAACUUCGUG